RNAcentral lists this ribosomal RNA (253 nucleotides) under uncultured bacterium. RNAcentral describes it as "partial 16S ribosomal RNA". It matches the Rfam family "Bacterial small subunit ribosomal RNA", at positions 524 to 776 of the family's 1533-position model. The record is from RNAcentral.
UACGUAGGCAGCAAGCGUUGUUCGGAGUUACUGGGCGUAAAGGGUGCGUAGGCGGCUCGAUAAGUAUGGUGUGAAAUCUCCCGGCUUAACUGGGAGGGUGCGCUAUAGACUGCCGGGCUAGAGUGUGGGAGAGGAAAGUGGAAUUCCUGGUGUAGCGGUGAAAUGCGUAGAUAUCAGGAGGAACACCGGUGGUGUAAACGGCUUUCUGGACCAUAACUGACGCUGAGGCACGAAAGCGUGGGUAGCAAACAGG